Molecule: ribosomal RNA, 473 nt
Filed under: uncultured organism
Description: partial 16S ribosomal RNA
Rfam family: Bacterial small subunit ribosomal RNA
Source: RNAcentral
UACACUCCUGCGGGAGGCAGCAGUGAGGAAUAUUGGCCAAUGGGUGGAAGCCUGAUCCAGCCAUCCCGCGUGCAGGAAGACGGCCCUAUGGGUUGUAAACUGCUUUUAUCUGGGGAUAAACCUACUUACGUGUAAGUAGCUGACGGUACCAGAAGAAUAAGCACCGGCUAACUCCGUGCCAGCAGCCGCGGUAAUACGGAGGGUGCAAGCGUUAUCCGGAUUUAUUGGGUUUAAAGGGUCCGUAGGCGGACUGAUAAGUCAGUGGUGAAAUCCGACAGCUUAACUGUCGAACUGCCAUUGAUACUGUUAGUCUUGAGUAAGGUUGAAGUGGCUGGAAUAAGUAGUGUAGCGGUGAAAUGCAUAGAUAUUACUUAGAACACCAAUUGCGAAGGCAGGUCACUAAGUCUUAACUGACGCUGAUGGACGAAAGCGUGGGGAGCGAACAGGAGUAGAAACCCGUGUAGUCCCAUGAU